This is a non-coding RNA of Cyprinus carpio (common carp), 363 nucleotides long. NCBI's taxonomy places the organism in Eukaryota, Metazoa, Chordata, Actinopteri, Cypriniformes, Cyprinidae. The record is from the annotation of a RefSeq genome assembly.
AUGGAAAAAUGGGUGAUUAUUACACUUUUCUUCACAGCACAGGAAUUUGGUGUGAUGACUGCAGACCAGAUUGGGCCAAAUAAAGAAACCAGUGUCAUGAAGGAAGAUGAGACUGUGACCCUCAGCUGCACAUAUGAUACAAGCAGCAGAUAUGUUGCACUUUACUGGUACAGACAGUAUCCUAAUAAAGAACCUCAGUAUUUAAUGUGGAAAGAUGCUCGUCCAUUGAUAAAAACUGGGACCCCAGCUGAACCUCGCUUUCAGUCGACUACAUCAGAAACAUCCACUGAACUCAUUAUUACUGGUGUAACUCUGUCAGAUUCAGCUCUCUAUUAUUGUGCUCUAAGAGUAGCAGUCCAGUGA